Molecule: ribosomal RNA, 253 nt
Filed under: uncultured bacterium
Lineage: Bacteria
Description: partial 16S ribosomal RNA
Rfam family: Bacterial small subunit ribosomal RNA
Source: RNAcentral
UACGAAGGGGGCUAGCGUUGCUCGGAAUUACUGGGCGUAAAGCGCACGUAGGCGGAUUGUUAAGUCGGGGGUGAAAUCCUGGAGCUCAACUCCAGAACUGCCUUCGAUACUGGCGAUCUCGAGUUCGGGAGAGGUGAGUGGAACUGCGAGUGUAGAGGUGAAAUUCGUAGAUAUUCGCAAGAACACCAGUGGCGAAGGCGGCUCACUGGCCCGAUACUGACGCUGAGACACGAAAGCGUGGGGAGCAAACAGG